UAAGGAGGAUGCAAGCGUUAUCCGGAAUGAUUGGGCGUAAAGCGUCCGCAGGUGGCUGUGUAAGUCUGCUGUUAAAGAGUCUAGCUCAACUAGAUACAAGCAGUGGAAACUACACGGCUAGAGUACGUUCGGGGCAGAGGGAAUUCCAGGUGUAGCGGUGAAAUGCGUAGAUAUCUGGAGGAACACCGGUGGCGAAGGCGGCAUCCUGGACCGAUACUGACACUGAGGAGCGAAAGCCAGGGGAGCAAACGGG
This 253-nucleotide ribosomal RNA is filed under the name uncultured bacterium. RNAcentral describes it as "partial 16S ribosomal RNA". It matches the Rfam family "Bacterial small subunit ribosomal RNA", at positions 524 to 776 of the family's 1533-position model. The record is from RNAcentral.